GUUCUAUGUCAGGUGUUCGGUCUCACGCUCGGAACUCAGAGCUAUUAAUCACAAGAUUGUGCUGCAAUGCCUUGAGUGGUACAACUCCAAGCAUCCGGGCAAUGAGUACGAACCUGCCCCAGGGGUGGUGACCAGACGCAGCGAAUUCAACAAGUCUCUGCUAUGGACUCACGGCAACUUUGUGGCUCGUCCGAAGCGCUCUGGCUACUUCUCCUUCCUGCCUGCGCCACGAACUCUCUUCUUUUUUGAGCUACUUGAUAGAUAUGAUGUCGAUGAAGUUAUCACAUGCACCCCCUUAGGUAGCACUUGCGCUGCAAUUCUUAGCACACAGAGAGAUUAACAGGGCAUGAUACGCUUGUUUUAGGAUCAGAAUAACUAAAUUGUAUUUUCCUUUUCUUUU
Long non-coding RNA from Lolium rigidum, 400 nucleotides. RefSeq lists it as uncharacterized. The record is from RefSeq and is a predicted model, not a curated record. Lineage: Eukaryota; Viridiplantae; Streptophyta; Magnoliopsida; Poales; Poaceae. The transcript has 3 exons.